This 466-nucleotide ribosomal RNA is filed under the name uncultured bacterium. RNAcentral's name for it is "partial 16S ribosomal RNA". It matches the Rfam family "Bacterial small subunit ribosomal RNA", at positions 28 to 507 of the family's 1533-position model. The record is from RNAcentral.
GACGAACGCUGGCGGCGCGCCUAACACAUGCAAGUCGAACGAGCGAGAGAGAGCUUGCUUUCUCGAGCGAGUGGCGAACGGGUGAGUAACGCGUGAGGAACCUUCCUCAAAGAGGGGGACAACAGUUGGAAACGACUGCUAAUACCUCAUAAGCCCACGACCCGGCAUCGGGUAUAGGGAAAAGGAGCAAUCCGCUUUGAGAUGGCCUCGAUUCCGAUUAGCUAGUUGGUGAGGUAACGGCGCACCAAGGCGACGAUCGGUAGACGGACUGAGAGGUUGAACGGACACAUUGGGACUGAGACACGGCGCAGAAUCCUACGGGAGGCAGCAGUGGGGAAUAUUGCACAGUGGGGGAAACCAUGAUGGAGCGACGCCGCGUGGAGGAAGAAGGUCUUCGGAUUGGAAAGUCAUGUUGUAGAGGAAGAUAAUGACGGUACUAAACAAGGAAGUGACGGCUAACUACGUG